GAACGCUGGCGGCGCGUUUUAGCAUGCAAGUCGAGCGGUNAGCAUCCUUCGGGAUGCCUAGAGCGGCGAACGGGUGAGUAACACGUAGGUAAUCUGCCGUACGAUUGGGGAUAGCCCAUGGAAACAUGGGGUAAUACCGAAUACGACCUUCGGGGGAAAGGCGCUUCGGCGCCGUCGUACGAUGAGCCUGCGGCGCAUUAGUUAGUUGGCGGGGUAAAAGCCCACCAAGGCGACGAUGCGUAGCCGACCUGAGAGGGUGAUCGGCCACACUGGGACUGAGAUACGGCCCAGACUCCUACGGGAGGCAGCAGCUAAGAAUCUUCCGCAAUGGACGCAAGUCUGACGGAGCGACGCCGCGUGGGCGAGGAAGGCCGAAAGGUUGUAAAGCCCUUUUCUGCGUGAGGAAUAAGGUAAGGAGGGAAUGCCUUACUGAUGACGGUAGCGCAGGAAUAAGCCCCGGCCAAUUACGUGCCAGCAGCCGCGGUAACACGUAUGGGGCGAGCGUUGUUCGGAAUUAUUGGGCGUAAAGGGCGCGCAGGCGGUCAUGCAAGCUUGGUGUGAAAGACCACGGCUCAACGGUGGAAACGCGCUGAGAACUGUAUGACUUGAGUUUCGGAGGGGGAGCUGGAAUUCCAGGUGUAGGGGUGAAAUCUGUAGAUAUCUGGAAGAACAUCAGUGGCGAAGGCGAGCUCCUGGCCGUGAACUGACGCUGAGGCGCGAAAGCGUGGGGAGCGAACAGGAUUAGAUACCCUGGUAGUCCACGCCGUAAACGAAUGUGCACUAGGUGUUGGGCUUUCGAAAGGCUCAGUGCCG
This 813-nucleotide ribosomal RNA is filed under the name uncultured organism. RNAcentral describes it as "bacterial SSU rRNA". It matches the Rfam family "Bacterial small subunit ribosomal RNA", at positions 31 to 848 of the family's 1533-position model. The record is from RNAcentral.